Molecule: long non-coding RNA, 824 nt
Filed under: Malus domestica (apple)
Lineage: Eukaryota; Viridiplantae; Streptophyta; Magnoliopsida; Rosales; Rosaceae
Description: long non-coding RNA (MDOM_LNC001253)
Source: RNAcentral
CCUUUUAUUUUUCAUUAAUUACAUUGUCUACCUCCCUUCUCUCCCGUAACCUCCCUCUGUUCUACCACAAACCCAGUAACCCAAUCCCUUCUUUCCCGUAACCUCCCUCUUCAUCCACCACAAACCCAGUAACCCAAUCCCAGCAAACCCAUCCGACGACGACGACGUCACCACCGUCACCAGCAAACCCCUCUUCUUCUCCGGCGUUGUCACCACCGUCACCAGCAAACCCUCUUCUUCUCCGGCGCCGUCACCAUGGAGCCGUCACCAGCAACCCCUCUUCUUCUCCGGCGCCGUCACCAUAGCCAGGCCGACGACGACGACGACGCUGCACGGAGGAUGAUGACGACGCUGCAGGGAAGACGAUGACGACGCUGCAGGCCGACGACGAUGACGACGCUGUAGGCCGACGACGACGACGACGCUGCACGGAGGAUGAUGACGACGCUGCAGGGAAGACGAUGACGACGCUGCAGGGAGGACGAUGACGAAGCUGCAGAAAUUGAUUGAAAUGAAUUUUGGGAUUUUUCUGUGUUUGAUUUUGGGAUUUUUCUGUGUUUGAUUUUGGGAUUUUUCUGUUUUUUUUUUCUUCUUGUAAUUGUUUGCUGGUGACGAGAUCUGAAAUUGAUUGGAGGGUUUGCUGGUGACGAGAUCUGAAACUGGAUUGGUUGCCGAGAAAACGAAGGAAAACGAAAACUGGGGUCUGAUUGUUUGAGUUCAUACUCGCACUCAGCAAUUGUACAAACAAGGCUAAGUUAGUCAUUUAACACGAAAUCCAAACCGUUCCGUCCUACGCGUACCAAACAUAACACGAACCUCCGUUU